GCGUCCAUGGCGGAAUUGGUAGACGCAAGAGACUUAAAAUCUCUCGCCCAUAGGGCGUGCCGGUUCGAUUCCGGCUGGACGCA
Molecule: transfer RNA, 83 nt
Filed under: Neopusillimonas aestuarii
Lineage: Bacteria; Pseudomonadati; Pseudomonadota; Betaproteobacteria; Burkholderiales; Alcaligenaceae
Description: Pusillimonas sp. DMV24BSW_D tRNA
Rfam family: tRNA
About the family: Transfer RNA (tRNA) molecules are approximately 80 nucleotides in length. Their secondary structure includes four short double-helical elements and three loops (D, anti-codon, and T loops). Further hydrogen bonds mediate the characteristic L-shaped molecular structure. tRNAs have two regions of fundamental functional importance: the anti-codon, which is responsible for specific mRNA codon recognition, and the 3' end, to which the tRNAs corresponding amino acid is attached (by aminoacyl-tRNA synthetases). tRNAs cope with the degeneracy of the genetic code in two manners: having more than one tRNA (with a specific anti-codon) for a particular amino acid; and 'wobble' base-pairing, i.e. permitting non-standard base-pairing at the 3rd anti-codon position.
Source: Rfam by way of RNAcentral